RNAcentral lists this ribosomal RNA (469 nucleotides) under uncultured bacterium. RNAcentral's name for it is "partial 16S ribosomal RNA". It matches the Rfam family "Bacterial small subunit ribosomal RNA", at positions 28 to 507 of the family's 1533-position model. The record is from RNAcentral.
GACGAACGCUGGCGGCGUGCUUAACACAUGCAAGUCGAACGGAAAGGCCCUGCUUGCAGGGUGCUCGAGUGGCGAACGGGUGAGUAACACGUGGGUGAUCUGCCCCUUACUUUGGGAUAAGCCUGGGAAACUGGGUCUAAUACUGGAUAGGACCAUGCUGUAGGUGGUGUGGUGGAAAGAUUAGUUUCGGUAAGGGAUGAGCUCGCGGCCUAUCAGCUUGUUGGUGGGGUAAUGGCCUACCAAGGCGUCGACGGGUAGCCGGCCUGAGAGGGUGGACGGCCACAUUGGGACUGAGAUACGGCGCAGACUCCUACGGGAGGCAGCAGUGGGGAAUAUUGCACAAUGGGCGCAAGCCUGAUGCAGCGACGCCGCGUGGGGAAUGACGGCCUUCGGGUUGUAAACUCCUUUCAGCCAUGACGAAGCCCUUGUGGUGACGGUAGUGGUAGAAGAAGCACCGGCUAACUACGUG